CGCCAGACUCUUACGGGAGGCAGCAGUGAGGAAUAUUGGUCAAUGGCCGGAAGGCUGAACCAGCCAAGUCGCGUGAGGGACGACUGCCCUAUGGGUUGUAAACCUCUUUUAUAAGGGAAGAAUAAAUGCUACGUGUAGCAUGAUGCCUGUACCUUAUGAAUAAGCAUCGGCUAACUCCGUGCCAGCAGCCGCGGUAAUACGUAGGGGGCAAGCGUUAUCCGGAUUCACUGGGUGUAAAGGGAGCGUAGACGGCGGCGCAAGUCUGGAGUGAAAGCCCGGGGCCCAACCCCGGGACUGCUCUGGAAACUGCGGCGCUGGAGUACGGGAGGGGCAGGCGGAAUUCCUGGUGUAGCGGUGAAAUGCGUAGAUAUUAGGAGGAACACCAGUGGCGAAGGCGACUUUCUGGACAGUAACUGACGUUGAGGCACGAAAGUGUGGGGAGCAAACAGGAUUAGAUACCCGUGUA
RNAcentral lists this ribosomal RNA (466 nucleotides) under uncultured bacterium. RNAcentral describes it as "partial 16S ribosomal RNA". It matches the Rfam family "Bacterial small subunit ribosomal RNA", at positions 329 to 792 of the family's 1533-position model. The record is from RNAcentral.